Molecule: ribosomal RNA, 658 nt
Filed under: Salmonella enterica subsp. enterica serovar Enteritidis
Lineage: Bacteria; Pseudomonadati; Pseudomonadota; Gammaproteobacteria; Enterobacterales; Enterobacteriaceae
Description: partial 23S ribosomal RNA
Rfam family: Bacterial large subunit ribosomal RNA
Source: RNAcentral
GCAGUGGGAGCACCCUUUGGGUGUGACUGCGUACCUUUUGUAUAAUGGGUCAGCGACUUAUAUUCUGUAGCAAGGUUAACCGAAUAGGGGAGCCGGAGGGAAACCGAGUCUUAACCGGGCGUUAAGUUGCAGGGUAUAGACCCGAAACCCGGUGAUCUAGCCAUGGGCAGGUUGAAGGUUGGGUAACACUAACUGGAGGACCGAACCGACUAAUGUUGAAAAAUUAGCGGAUGACCUGUGGCUGGGGGUGAAAGGCCAAUCAAACCGGGAGAUAGCUGGUUCUCCCCGAAAGCUAUUUAGGUAGCGCCUCGUGAAUUCAUCUCCGGGGGUAGAGCACUGUUUCGGCUAGGGGGCCAUCCCGGCUUACCAACCCGAUGCAAACUGCGAAUACCGGAGAAUGUUAUCACGGGAGACACACGGCGGGUGCUAACGUCCGUCGUGAAGAGGGAAACAACCCAGACCGCCAGCUAAGGUCCCAAAGUCAUGGUUAAGUGGGAAACGAUGUGGGAAGGCCCAGACAGCCAGGAUGUUGGCUUAGAAGCAGCCAUCAUUUAAAGAAAGCGUAAUAGCUCACUGGUCGAGUCGGCCUGCGCGGAAGAUGUAACGGGGCUAAACCAUGCACCGAAGCUGCGGCAGCGACACUGUGUGUUGUUGGGUA